GCAAACUUCCCAAGAGUACAGUGAAGUCACGUAUAGCAUGAUAGCUAUGACUAAUCCAAAGAAUGCAGCUGAUGACACCCACAGUGAUGUCACCUACAGCACUGUAGCUGCACACAGUAGAGGCCUGAGAAAAUCCCUUAGAUACCAAGUAGCAGAUGUCAUCUACAGUGAGGUGGCAACAAAGUGAAGCAAGAUGGCAGCAUACUGAUUCUUCAGGACUCACAAGAAUUAAGAAAAAAAUCAAUGAGCUGAUUUGAGAAUUGUUAUCUUAAUGUGUUUAAUGUUUGAAAUAAUUCAAAUCAAUGGACAUCUUUGUUCUUUGUACUGUAUGUUUUUCCCCCCUGCAUUCUUGAGUUGAGGGUUUAUAACAUUGUUUUUCAUGCUAAACAUUCCCUGAUUGUAUACAUAAACAGUCUAACAGUUGACAUUAAAAUAAAUGCCGAGUUAGUUGUGCCACUGGGUACGUGAGUGUUGAGGGCUCAAACAAUGCUCUCAAUGCUCAAGUUCAUGUGUAGAGACACACUGAUGAUACUUCGGCCAAAGUUUCAUGUUAUGUUGAGCCUUCUUAGUGUUUUAAUAAUAGCGAUUUUGACACGAUCAUGUUCAAAAAACGACAAAGAAAACAUGGACAAGAUUAAAAGUGAUGCCUCUGACGUAAUUAUGCUUUUAAGCGAAGGUUUGACUCGGGUGCAUUCACAAAAACACACUAUGAUGCAUUUUGGCUAAUCUUUAC
Molecule: long non-coding RNA, 733 nt
Organism: Sardina pilchardus (European sardine)
Lineage: Eukaryota; Metazoa; Chordata; Actinopteri; Clupeiformes; Clupeidae
Exons: 4
Source: RefSeq, a predicted model, not a curated record